CACCAGGUUGAUUCUGCCUGACACAGAUGCUAGUUUCUAAGAUUAAGCCAUGCAUGUUAGUGACUUUGAACGGCGAACGGCUCAGUAAUGCUGCGAUUAUCUGAUCUAUUAUUUGUAAUAACCAAGGGAAACAUUGGCUAAUAUCUAGUAGAAUGAGACGCAGCCCUAUCAGCUUGUUGGUAGUGUAAAGGACUACCAAGGCUAUAACGGGUAACGGGGGACGAGCGUCUGAUACCGGAGAGGGCGCCUGAGAGAUGGCGCCUACGUCUAUGGACGGCAGCAGGCGCGGAAAUUGCCCACUCCUAAAUUGGGGAGGCGGUUAAGAAACGAUAUGAGGAUAAAAUAGUUAUGUAAUAAGAUUGGAGGGCAAGGCUGGUGCCAGCAGCCGCGG
This 391-nucleotide ribosomal RNA is filed under the name uncultured Microsporidia. Its description in RNAcentral is "SSU rRNA". It matches the Rfam family "Microsporidia small subunit ribosomal RNA", at positions 1 to 405 of the family's 1311-position model. Lineage: Eukaryota; Fungi; Microsporidia. The record is from RNAcentral.